AAUUUUGGACAAUGGACGCAAGCCUGCUCCAGCCAUGCCGCGUGAGUGAAGAAGGNCCNNGGGUUNUNAAGGUCUUUCGGACGNNNNNAAAUCGCGCAGCCUAAUACCCUGCGCUGAUGACGGUACCGUCAUAAGAAGCCCCGGCCAACUACGUGCCAGCCGCCGCGGUAAUACGUAGGGUGCGAGCGUUAUUCGGAACUACUCGGCGUAAAGCGUGCGCAGGCGGUUGAUUAAGACCGGCGUGAAAUCCCCGGGCUUAAGCUGGGAACUGCGCUUGUGACUGGUCAGAAAGAGUACGGCAGAGGGGGGUGGAAUUCCACGUGUAGCAGUGAAAUGCGUAGAGAUGGGGAGGAACACCGAUGGCGAAGGCAAUCCCCUGGGCCUGCACUGACGCUCAUGCACGAGAGCGUGGGGAGCAAACAGG
Molecule: ribosomal RNA, 424 nt
Filed under: uncultured bacterium
Lineage: Bacteria
Description: partial 16S ribosomal RNA
Rfam family: Bacterial small subunit ribosomal RNA
Source: RNAcentral